GAUGAACGCUGGCGGCGUGCCUAAUGCAUGCAAGUCGAGCGAACGGACGAGAAGCUUGCUUCUCUGAUGUUAGCGGCGGACGGGUGAGUAACACGUGGAUAACCUACCUAUAAGACUGGGAUAACUUCGGGAAACCGGCGCUAAUACCGGAUAAUAUUUUGAACCGCAUGGUUCAAAAGUGAAAGACGGUCUUGCUGUCACUUAUAGAUGGAUCCGCGCUGCAUUAGCUAGUUGGUAAGGUAACGGCUUACCAAGGCAACGAUGCAUAGCCGACCUGAGAGGGUGAGCGGCCCCACUGGAACUGGGACACGGUCCAGACUCCUACGGGAGGCAGCAGUAGGGAAUCUUCCGCAAUGGGCGAAGGCCUGAAGGAGCAACGCCGCGUGCGUGAUGAAGGGCUUCGGAUCGUAAAACUCUGUUAUUAGGGAAGAACAUAUGUGUAAGUAACUGUGCACAUCUUGACGGUACCUAAUCAGAAAGCCACGGCUAACUACGUG
Molecule: ribosomal RNA, 497 nt
Filed under: uncultured bacterium
Lineage: Bacteria
Description: partial 16S ribosomal RNA
Rfam family: Bacterial small subunit ribosomal RNA
Source: RNAcentral